AUUGAACGCUGGCGGCAUGCUUUACACAUGCAAGUCGAACGGCAGCGCGGGCUUCGGCCUGGCGGCGAGUGGCGAACGGGUGAGUAAUGCAUCGGAACGUGCCCAGUAGUGGGGGAUAGCCCGGCGAAAGCCGGAUUAAUACCGCAUACGACCUGAGGGUGAAAGCGGGGGACCGAAAGGCCUCGCGCUAUUGGAGCGGCCGAUGUCGGAUUAGCUAGUUGGUGGGGUAAAGGCUUACCAAGGCGACGAUCCGUAGCUGGUCUGAGAGGACGACCAGCCACACUGGGACUGAGACACGGCCCAGACUCCUACGGGAGGCAGCAGUGGGGAAUGUUGGACAAUGGGGGCAACCCUGAUCCAGCCAUGCCGCGUGCGUGAAGAAGGCCUUCGGGUUGUAAACCGCUUUUGUUCGGGAAGAAAGCCUGUGGGCUAAUACCCCGGGGGGAUGACGGUACCGGAAGAAUAAGCACCGGCUAACUACGUG
This 484-nucleotide ribosomal RNA is filed under the name uncultured bacterium. Its description in RNAcentral is "partial 16S ribosomal RNA". It matches the Rfam family "Bacterial small subunit ribosomal RNA", at positions 28 to 507 of the family's 1533-position model. The record is from RNAcentral.